GCCUAGCCUAAGAUGUCAGAGAUACUUUUGGCUAAUCCUAUCUCUAAGUCUUUUAGAUUCUACGGCAUUCAUAAUUUGCUCGUUAAUAUUUACACUCGCAUCCAUAUGCAAAUGGUAAAGACCAUCAAUCAAGAAAGCACGUGCAACAAUUUUAUUUUCAAAAUAAAUUGAACGUAUGUCUUUAAUGAGAUGAAAAUUAUAGUUACCCUGUGCCAGCAC
Molecule: long non-coding RNA, 219 nt
Filed under: Elaeis guineensis (African oil palm)
Lineage: Eukaryota; Viridiplantae; Streptophyta; Magnoliopsida; Arecales; Arecaceae
Description: long non-coding RNA (EGUI_LNC066157)
Source: RNAcentral